Molecule: ribosomal RNA, 460 nt
Filed under: uncultured bacterium
Lineage: Bacteria
Description: partial 16S ribosomal RNA
Rfam family: Bacterial small subunit ribosomal RNA
Source: RNAcentral
CCUACGGGAGGCUGCAGUGAGGAAUAUUGGUCAAUGGACGAGAGUCUGAACCAGCCAAGUAGCGUGAAGGAUGACUGCCCUAUGGGUUGUAAACUUCUUUUAUAUGGGAAUAAAACGUUCCACGUGUGGGAUUUUGUAUGUACCAUAUGAAUAAGGAUCGGCUAACUCCGUGCCAGCAGCCGCGGUAAUACGGAGGAUCCGAGCGUUAUCCGGAUUUAUUGGGUUUAAAGGGAGCGUAGGUGGAGUGUUAAGUCAGUUGUGAAAGUUUGCGGCUCAACCGUAAAAUUGCAGUUGAAACUGGCAGUCUUGAGUACAGUAGAGGUGGGCGGAAUUCGUGGUGUAGCGGUGAAAUGCUUAGAUAUCACGAAGAACUCCGAUUGCGAAGGCAGUUCACUGGAAUGCAACUGACACUGAGGCUCGAAAGUGUGGGUAUCAAACAGGAUUAGAUACCCUUGUAGUC